Molecule: long non-coding RNA, 1286 nt
Organism: Hermetia illucens (black soldier fly)
Lineage: Eukaryota; Metazoa; Arthropoda; Insecta; Diptera; Stratiomyidae
Exons: 3
Source: RefSeq, a predicted model, not a curated record
UUGGAUAUCGACUUAAUGCGCUGUAGGACCGUUAGCAGAUAAGCAAGAUAUUGAUUUGGCUAUAUUCGAUACUUGCAUUGCUGCUUGUAUAGUCAAAAAAUAGCUUGCAUAGUUGGCUUAAAGAAUAUACGAUGCUGGAAAAAAGAGAUAUUGGCUAAAUUGAGAGUGUAGAGAGAACGUGAAAGAGGGGUGUUCACCUGCGAUAUCUUCUGUGAGCGCGAAAAAUGAAGUUUGCGUUUGGACUAAUGACCCUAUUCUAAAUAUUUCCGAAAUACAUGUCCUCUAGAAGUCAGCUGAUGUAACUAAUUCCUUCAAUUAAAGUUAUUCAGCCACCUUCCCGAAAUUAAGUUACUUCCUGAGGGGUUGCUUGAGGAAUUCCGAGUUGAAUGGAGAGCCCGAGGUUUUAAUGUUUCAACAGCAAAUCUCAAUAGAUUAUAUCAUUAAGCCUCCCCAAAGGCAGAGCGACAAACCAGCUAAACUACACUGUGAGAUCCAGUUGUCAACACUAAUUAGCCAUCUACCCGUAACGAUGCCAGAUGACUAUAAUAGUUGAAUUAGGUUGGUUUGUUCGCGAAUAUCGUCUUCGGAACCGUGACGGUCAGACAAAAUCCAGCAGUGAUGUCGAGUAUUAUUUGCAUCGAUUUGUAACGUUCGCUAGAGAUGAUCCACCUAUGUAGUUUGGUCGAUAGGCUACAUCGUCGUAGAUCGUGAACGUAGAUAUCCUGUCGCUCUUACUUCUAUUCCGUCGAUUUAUAAUAUAUCUUGUUACCUGAUUUUUACUGGUAAAGUCGGAGUUUGAUCAAUUCGAAGUCGCUACUUAUCUGAUGGUCUUAGGCAAUUUUGAGUUUGGGCAAUCAGUAUUCGCAUGCCAUUCUAAUAGUUGAAUGCAGUAACAACAAGUUGUAUCAUGUCAAAGAAGUUAAAACAAAGAAUAAAGUAUUAACCUUUGACUCAAACCUUAAUAAACACUAAAUCUUCCUUUUGCUCUUUGCUGGAAGUAAUACGUACCAUUUAAUUCAAGUUAAUUUCUUUCCUUAUUUUCUUUUCUUAUUAUCAUUUAUUUUUUCGAGUUGCCAAAAUCUCGGCCGAUAUUUGAUUUUACCUAUGAUUAGGACUAAGCGCUUGCACUAUCCUACUUACUUAAAUAAGGCGAAAUGCCGGAUAUAAAGGUCUUGUGUUCAUCUUAUGUGAGAAACUUCCUAACACGCGUAUUUCCAUUCGUACAUAGCCAACAAUUCAAAAUAGUCCUUCCUAUAUUUCUAAACUGUAAAAUAUACAUACACAAU